GAUGAACGCUGGCGGCGUGCCUAAUACAUGCAAGUCGAGCGAACGGACGAGAAGCUUUCUUCUCUGAUGUUAGCGGCGGACGGGUGAGUAACACGUGGAUAACCUACCUAUAAGACUGGGAUAACUUCGGGAAACCGGAGCUACUACCGGAUAAUAUUUUGAACCGCAUGGUUCAAAAGUGAAAGACGGUCUUGCUGUCACUUAUAGAUGGAUCCGCGCUGCAUUCGCUAGUUGGUAAGGUAACGGCUUACCAAGGCAACGAUGCAUAGCCGACCUGAGAGGGUGGUCCGCCACACGGGAAGUGAGACACGGCCCAGACUCCGACGGGAGGCAGCAGUAGGGAAUCUUCCGCGAUGGGCGAGAGCCUGACAGUGCAACGCCGCGUGAGUGAUGAAGGUCUUCGGAUCGUAGAACUCUGUUAGUAGGGAAGAACAUAUGUGUAAGUACCUGUGCUCAUCUUGACGGUACCUAAUCAGAAAGCCACGGCUAACUCCGUG
RNAcentral lists this ribosomal RNA (497 nucleotides) under uncultured bacterium. RNAcentral describes it as "partial 16S ribosomal RNA". It matches the Rfam family "Bacterial small subunit ribosomal RNA", at positions 28 to 507 of the family's 1533-position model. The record is from RNAcentral.